AGAGUUUGAUCCUGGCUCAGGAUGAACGCUGGCGGCGUGCCUAACACAUGCAAGUCGAACGGAUCUGUAUUGAAACCUAGUGAUAUACAGGUUAGUGGCGGACGGGUGAGUAACGCGUGGAUAACCUGCCGUAUACCGGGGGAUAACACUUAGAAAUAGGUGCUAAUACCGCAUGAGCGCACAGCUCCGCAUGGAGCGGUGUGAAAAACUCCGGUGGUAUACGAUGGAUCCGCGUCUGAUUAGCCAGUUGGCGGGGGUAACGGCCCACCAAAGCGACGAUCAGUAGCCGGCCUGAGGGGGUGAACGGCCACAUUGGGACUGAGACACGGCCCAGACUCCUACGGGAGGCAGCAGUGGGGAAUAUUGCACAAUGGGGGAAACCCUGAUGCAGCGACGCCGCGUGAGUGAAGAAGUAUCUCGGUAUGUAAAGCUCUAUCAGCAGGAAAGAUAAUGACGGUACCUGACUAAGAAGCCCCGGCUAACUACGUG
Molecule: ribosomal RNA, 489 nt
Filed under: uncultured Lachnospiraceae bacterium
Lineage: Bacteria; Bacillati; Bacillota; Clostridia; Lachnospirales; Lachnospiraceae
Description: bacterial SSU rRNA
Rfam family: Bacterial small subunit ribosomal RNA
Source: RNAcentral